This is a long non-coding RNA of Pyrus x bretschneideri (Chinese white pear), 212 nucleotides long. RefSeq lists it as uncharacterized. The transcript is spliced from 2 exons. NCBI's taxonomy places the organism in Eukaryota, Viridiplantae, Streptophyta, Magnoliopsida, Rosales, Rosaceae. The record is from RefSeq and is a predicted model, not a curated record.
GUAACCUAAAGCACUAAAAUGAAAUGGUAAUUCAAAAGCUGCAGCACACGUGCACCCAGUCCUCCUCAGCUUCAGCAAUCAGCAAGUGGUCUAUGACCGAGGAAACAGAGGUGCAAGGGCGCAUCCCCUCCAUUUUCCUCAAGUAGUUUUUUAAAAUGCGGGCAGUCAUUAAGCAUGUGGGUACCAAUCUCAUAACAAUAAACACACUCAAG